Molecule: non-coding RNA, 510 nt
Organism: Microcebus murinus (gray mouse lemur)
Lineage: Eukaryota; Metazoa; Chordata; Mammalia; Primates; Cheirogaleidae
Source: RefSeq, a predicted model, not a curated record
GACCAGAAUAGCUGCUUCUAAUAAUUUUUUUUUUAAAUAAACAAUUCCGGAGCGACAGCGACGCAAGAUGGCAGCCACCACGGGCUCGGGAAUAAAAGUCCUUCGCAAUUUCCGACUGUUGGAAGAACUCGAAGAAGGCCAGAAAGGAGUAGGAGAUGGCACAGUUAGCUGGGGUCUAGAAGAUGACGAAGACAUGACACUUGGACAGGGAUGAUAAUUGGGCCUCCAAGAACAAUUUAUGAAAACCGAAUAUACAGCCUUAAAAUAGAAUGUGGACCUAAAUACCCAGAAGCACCCCCCUUUGUAAGAUUUGUAACAAAAAUUAAUAUGAAUGGAGUUAAUAGUUCUAAUGGAGUGGUGGAUCCAAGAGCCAUAUCAGUGCUAGCAAAAUGGCAGAAUUCAUAUAGCAUCAAAGUUGUCCUGCAAGAGCUUCGGCGCCUAAUGAUGUCUAAAGAAAAUAUGAAACUCCCUCAGCCACCUGAAGGACAGUGUUACAGCAUAUUUGUGUAA